GUAGGAGGUGAAAAUUGAUACCCAUUACCAAGUCGAUGACCAAGCUGUGGUGCAAGGUCGGUAAAAGAAAGAUUUUGAGAAGAACGCUCACUUAGGAAGCUUUGGUGUUCAUUAAGUUGUUUGUCUUAUUUGCUACUUGACGUUGUAGUUAAUUUGAUAACAUUAUGGGAUGACUGUAAAUCCGUUUAGAUUAAUACGGAUAUGUGUAGUUAUGGGCUUUAUAACUUUGGGGGACCCAUAACUGGUUGUAUGUGGUAAAUGAUAUUUGAAUGAAUUAUGUUUUUCCGCAUCAUAAAUUUGUAUGAUAAUAUAAUAGGGUAAAGAGUAUUUUCAAAGAGUGAUACUUGAGAGUUUUCAAUGAAGGUGACGACUGUACGUAAGAAAGGAUAAAAAUAAAUGAAAAAAAAAUUUUAAGGGUAGAAAAUCGGUCGUUACAAUUAUGGUUUCAGAGCAUAGUUUGUCCUGCGGCCUAGGGUAUGACCUUACUUGCUUCUUUGUAACUUAUAAAUGAUGAG
Molecule: non-coding RNA, 515 nt
Organism: Lupinus albus (white lupine)
Lineage: Eukaryota; Viridiplantae; Streptophyta; Magnoliopsida; Fabales; Fabaceae
Source: the annotation of a GenBank genome assembly